GUAGCUGCUGUAAGUACCAUAGUAAACAGAGGGAUAACACCAAAAGCUUUUGUGUUCAGAAACUAUGGUCAUUUUCCUGGAAUCAACUCUCAUUAUUUGGGAGGCUGUCAGUAUAAAAUGUGGCAGGCCAUUAGAGCCUCAUCUGCUGCUCCAGGCUACUUUGCAGAAUAUGCAUUGGGAAAUGAUCUUCAUCAAUUAACAGAAGUCCAUAUAAUGCUUGAUGGUCUGUUACCUCCUGACACCUAUUUUAGAUUCAAUCCUGUAAUGUGUGAAAACAUACCUCUAGAUGAAAGUCGAAAUGAAAAGCUGGAUCAACUGCAGUUGGAAGGGUUGAAGUACAUAGAAAGAAAUGAACAAAAAAUGAAAAAAGUUGCAAAAAUAUUAAGUCAAGAAAAAACAACUCUACAGAAAAUUAAUGAUUGGAUAAAGUUAAAAACUGACAUGUAUGAAGGCCUUCCAUUCUUUUCAAAAUUGUGAUGAGUGUGUGUAUAUGUUCUCAUAAAUGAAGUCCUGUCCAGAAGACUCACCAAAUUCAAUAAGGAAUUGUGAGGUUCAACAUGAGUUAAUGUUGAAAUACUUACGAAUUCUGGGAAAUCCUGAAAAAGAUGGUGCUUUGGCCAGCUUGCACAGCACAGAGGAUAUGUUUGGCUACAGAAUUAAUAUGGGAAUUAGGUUUUUAAAAUGUUAAUAAUUAACUUUAGGAAUUGUAUUGUGCUAGUUGGUUUUAGUAGAUAUUGGUGUUAUAUUGUUUGAUGUUUGAAAAUAUAUUAAUAUAUGUGCCAAACAAGAAACUAAAAACUAU
RNA transcript from Propithecus coquereli (Coquerel's sifaka), 802 nucleotides. It is a transcript of the gene named calcium-independent phospholipase A2-gamma pseudogene, with no coding region annotated. The record is from RefSeq and is a predicted model, not a curated record. NCBI's taxonomy places the organism in Eukaryota, Metazoa, Chordata, Mammalia, Primates, Indriidae. The transcript has 2 exons.